RNAcentral lists this ribosomal RNA (833 nucleotides) under Ansonia hanitschi (Kadamaian stream toad). RNAcentral describes it as "partial 16S ribosomal RNA". It matches the Rfam family "Bacterial large subunit ribosomal RNA", at positions 1221 to 2610 of the family's 2925-position model. The record is from RNAcentral. Lineage: Eukaryota; Metazoa; Chordata; Amphibia; Anura; Bufonidae.
CCCACCUAUACUGAGUAAUUCUAUAACACUAUAGAAAUUUUUAUGUUAAAACUAGUAACAAGAAGAAGACCCUUCUCUUAAAUGUUAGUGUAAAUCAGAAAGGACAAACCACUGAUAUUUAACAUCCUUGAACUAAAAGUAAUAACUAACCAAGAAAACUCUACCACAAUUUAUGUAAACCUAACACAAGCACAUUUUAAGAAAGAUUAAAAGAAAAAGAAGGAACUCGGCAAAUAUUAACCCCGCCUGUUUACCAAAAACAUCGCCUCUUGUACACAAUAAGAGGUCCAGCCUGCCCAGUGACUCUGUUCAACGGCCGCGGUAUCCUAACCGUGCGAAGGUAGCGUAAUCACUUGUUCUUUAAAUGAGGACUAGUAUGAAUGGCAUCACGAAGGUUACACUGUCUCCUUUUUUUAAUCAGUGAAACUAAUCUCCCCGUGAAGAAGCGGGGAUGAAACUAUAAGACGAGAAGACCCUAUGGAGCUUUAAACAACAUAGCACUUACCACACUACAUUUUUAAAUUAAACUUUUUAGGUAAUAUGACUAUAAGUUUUUGGUUGGGGUGACCACGGAGCAUAACAUAACCUCCACGUUGAAGAAAUUCUAUUUUUAACCAAGAGCCACCAAUCUAAGCAUCAAAAUCUUGACAUUCAUUGACCCAAUACUUUUGAACAACGAACCAAGUUACCCUAGGGAUAACAGCGCAAUCCACUUUAAGAGCCCAUAUCGACAAGUGGGUUUACGACCUCGAUGUUGGAUCAGGUCUCCAAGUGGUGCAGCCGCUACUAAAGGUUCGUUUGUUCAACGAUUAAAACUCCUACGUGAUCUGAGU